This 877-nucleotide ribosomal RNA is filed under the name Curvularia pseudolunata. RNAcentral's name for it is "eukaryotic LSU rRNA". It matches the Rfam family "Eukaryotic large subunit ribosomal RNA", at positions 68 to 962 of the family's 3401-position model. Lineage: Eukaryota; Fungi; Ascomycota; Dothideomycetes; Pleosporales; Pleosporaceae. The record is from RNAcentral.
ACAGGGAUUGCCCUAGUAACGGCGAGUGAAGCGGCAACAGCUCAAAUUUGAAAUCUGGCUCUUUCAGAGUCCGAGUUGUAAUUUGCAGAGGGCGCUUUGGCUUUGGCAGCGGUCCAAGUUCCUUGGAACAGGACGUCACAGAGGGUGAGAAUCCCGUACGUGGUCGCUAGCUAUUGCCGUGUAAAGCCCCUUCGACGAGUCGAGUUGUUUGGGAAUGCAGCUCUAAAUGGGAGGUAAAUUUCUUCUAAAGCUAAAUAUUGGCCAGAGACCGAUAGCGCACAAGUAGAGUGAUCGAAAGAUGAAAAGCACUUUGGAAAGAGAGUCAAACAGCACGUGAAAUUGUUGAAAGGGAAGCGCUUGCAGCCAGACUUGCUUGCAGUUGCUCAUCCGGGCUUUUGCCCGGUGCACUCUUCUGUAGGCAGGCCAGCAUCAGUUUGGGCGGUGGGAUAAAGGUCUCUGUCACGUACCUUCCUUCGGGUUGGCCUUAUAGGGGAGACGCCAUACCACCAGCCUGGACUGAGGUCCGCGCAUCUGCUAGGAUGCUGGCGUAAUGGCUGUAAGCGGCCCGUCUUGAAACACGGACCAAGGAGUCUAACAUCUAUGCGAGUGUUUGGGUGUCAAGCCCGAACGCGUAAUGAAAGUGAACGGAGGUGGGAACCCGCAAGGGUGCACCAUCGACCGAUCCUGAAGUUUACGGAAGGAUUUGAGUAAGAGCAUGGCUGUUGGGACCCGAAAGAUGGUGAACUAUGCUUGAAUAGGGUGAAGCCAGAGGAAACUCUGGUGGAGGCUCGCAGCGGUUCUGACGUGCAAAUCGAUCGUCAAAUUUGGGCAUAGGGGCGAAAGACUAAUCGAAACUAUCUAGUAGCUGGUUCCUGCC